CGUGUAGGCGGACUCGCAAGUCGGUUGUGAAAUCCCUGGGCUCAACCUAGGAACUGCAUCCGAAACUGCUUGUCUUGAGUAAUGGAGAGGGUGGCGGAAUUCCCGGUGUAGAGGUGAAAUUCGUAGAUAUCGGGAGGAACAUCAGUGGCGAAGGCGGCCACCUGGACAUUUACUGACGCUGAGACGCGAAAGCGUGGGGAGCAAGCA
This 207-nucleotide ribosomal RNA is filed under the name uncultured bacterium. RNAcentral's name for it is "partial 16S ribosomal RNA". It matches the Rfam family "Bacterial small subunit ribosomal RNA", at positions 568 to 774 of the family's 1533-position model. The record is from RNAcentral.